CCCCGUCCACCGUUGUUAUCAGUUCACGUUACCGCUCCGAGAGUCCGAGGCGCCGUCUCCACCAUCUCCUGUUUGCUGGCGGCGCGAGGAGUACCGCCCGUGACCGCAGCGCUGAGGCUCAGGAAUCAACCCUCCUCCGAAUACGCCCGUCCAUCUCUGGCGCGCGAGCAGCUCCGCCCCCUUCGUCUUCCCCUGCGCAAAAGCGGCUGCGCGAGGAGCUUCAUGUGUGCAGUGCGCUGUCCCGCGGCAAGAGCAGCAUCAAUUACUUCUUCCCUCUUCGUUCAGAUGUGUUUCUUCUACAAGGCCGGCUUCCUGCUACCUCGGUGGGAGCAUCGAUGCAGUGCAGU
RNAcentral lists this long non-coding RNA (347 nucleotides) under Setaria viridis. Its description in RNAcentral is "long non-coding RNA (SVIR_LNC000874)". Lineage: Eukaryota; Viridiplantae; Streptophyta; Magnoliopsida; Poales; Poaceae. The record is from RNAcentral.